CAUCUACAAAUUGGAUUGGAUACAGAAUCGGAAGGAAAAAUUACAGUAAGAAAAAUUGAUCUAGUUCUGCAAUAUCCAUUGCAAGUCGCUUUUUCAGGUCUACUUGCGGAAAACUUGGGGGGAAAUGGGAUAUUAACACAAAUAAAGUAAAUUCAAAAAUAUAUGAAAUGCAACUGAACGGUCAUGAAUACAUGCAAAUCAUAUUUCGUCCGUUGGAAGGUUUUCGGUAUUAUAUACUGUCGAAUCUUCACGAAAGAAGAAAACGAAGAAUCAUCUCCGAUCAUUCGAAAAGAAACUUUUCCAUCCGAAGCUGUAAAGGAAAU
Molecule: long non-coding RNA, 323 nt
Organism: Nasonia vitripennis (jewel wasp)
Lineage: Eukaryota; Metazoa; Arthropoda; Insecta; Hymenoptera; Pteromalidae
Exons: 3
Source: RefSeq, a predicted model, not a curated record